This 253-nucleotide ribosomal RNA is filed under the name uncultured bacterium. Its description in RNAcentral is "partial 16S ribosomal RNA". It matches the Rfam family "Bacterial small subunit ribosomal RNA", at positions 524 to 776 of the family's 1533-position model. The record is from RNAcentral.
UACGUAGGGUGCGAGCGUUAAUCGGAAUUACUGGGCGUAAAGAGUGCGUAGGCGGUGCUCUAAGUCUGUUGUGAAAUCUCCCGGCUCAACUGGGAGGGUGCGGCGGAAACUGGAGUGCUAGAGUGUGGGAGAGGUAAGCGGAAUUCCUGGUGUAGCGGUGAAAUGCGUAGAUAUCAGGAGGAACACCUGCGGUGUAGACAGCUUACUGGACCACGACUGACGCUGAGGCACGAAAGCGUGGGUAGCAAACAGG